This 504-nucleotide ribosomal RNA is filed under the name uncultured bacterium. RNAcentral's name for it is "partial 16S ribosomal RNA". It matches the Rfam family "Bacterial small subunit ribosomal RNA", at positions 28 to 506 of the family's 1533-position model. The record is from RNAcentral.
GACGAACGCUGGCGGCGUGCCUAAUACAUGCAAGUAGAACGCACAGUUUAUACCGUAGCUUGCUACACCAUACACUGUGAGUUGCGAACGGGUGAGUAACGCGUAGGUAACCUGCCUGGUAGCGGGGGAUAACUAUUGGAAACGAUAGCUAAUACCGCAUAAUAUUGAUUAUUGCAUGAUAAUUGAUUGAAAGAUGCUAUUGCAUCACUACCAGAUGGACCUGCGUUGUAUUAGCUAGUAGGUGAGGUAACGGCUCACCUAGGCGACGAUACAUAGCCGACCUGAGAGGGUGAUCGGCCACACUGGGACUGAGACACGGCCCAGACUCCUACGGGAGGCAGCAGUAGGGAAUCUUCGGCAAAGGACGAAAGUCUGACCGAGCAACGCCGCGUGAGUGAAGAAGGUUUUCGGAUCGUAAAGCUCUGUUGUAAGAGAAGAACGGGUGUGAGAGUGGAAAGUUCACACUGUGACGGUAUCUUACCAGAAAGGGACGGCUAACUACGU